Molecule: long non-coding RNA, 218 nt
Filed under: Elaeis guineensis (African oil palm)
Lineage: Eukaryota; Viridiplantae; Streptophyta; Magnoliopsida; Arecales; Arecaceae
Description: long non-coding RNA (EGUI_LNC010542)
Source: RNAcentral
UACCUCGAGAUUUUUCAUACUGAUAUCGUCGCCGUCUGGAAUAAAUACGUCGCACCUCGAAAGCAUAAAAAUUAAUUAUUUGGUUGAAAAUGAAGGGACUUGAUCUUUCAAAAAAUGAUCCGUCAUAUUUUCUCUCAUCAUUGCUUGGACGGACGAUUUGAAAAUAUCAAAUAAGAGCGCGAUAAAUGUCAACGUCCGGUUGGCUUAUCAGCUUGGGC